This 406-nucleotide ribosomal RNA is filed under the name uncultured bacterium. RNAcentral describes it as "partial 16S ribosomal RNA". It matches the Rfam family "Bacterial small subunit ribosomal RNA", at positions 29 to 526 of the family's 1533-position model. The record is from RNAcentral.
AUUGAACGCUGGCGGCAGGCCUAACACAUGCAAGUCGAACGAGUGGCGGACGGGUGAGUAAUGUCUGGGAAACUGCCCGCUGGAGGGGGAUACCUACUGGAAACGGUAGCUAAUACCGCCUACCAUCGGAUGUGCCCAGAUGGGAUUAGCUAGUAGGUGGGGUAACGGCUCACCUAGGCGACGAUCCCUAGCUGGUCUGAGAGGAUGACAAGCCACAGUGGAACGGAGACACGGGCCAGACUCCUACGGGAGGCAGCAGUGGGGAAUAUUGGAAAAUGGGCGCAAGCCUGAUGAAGCCAGGCCGCGUGUAUGAAGAAGGCCUUCGGGUUGUAAAGUACUUUCAGCGGGGAGGCGUUACCCGCAGAAGAAGCACCGGCUAACUCCGUGCCAGCAGCCGCGGUAAUUC